RNAcentral lists this ribosomal RNA (494 nucleotides) under uncultured bacterium. RNAcentral's name for it is "partial 16S ribosomal RNA". It matches the Rfam family "Bacterial small subunit ribosomal RNA", at positions 28 to 507 of the family's 1533-position model. The record is from RNAcentral.
GACGAACGCUGGCGGCGUGCUUAACACAUGCAAGUCGAACGGAAAGGCCUGCUUUCCCUUGUGGAUUGCGGGUACUCGAGUGGCGAACGGGUGAGUAACACGUGAGUGAUCUGCCCCCAACUUGGGUAUAAGCCUGGGAAACUGGGUCUAAUUCCCGAUAGGACUGCAGGGUGGUGCCUGUGGUGGAAAACGAUUUUCUAGUGGUUGGGGAUGAGCUCGUGGCCUAUCAGCUUGUUGGUGGGGUAAUGGCCUACCAAGGCGGCGUCGGGUAGCCUGCCUGGGAGGGUGGACGGCCACGGUGGGACUGAGAUACGGCCCAGACUCCUACGGGCGGCAGCAGUGGGGAAUAUUGAACAAUGGGCGGAAGCCUGAGGCAGCGACGCCGCGGGGGGGAUGCCGGCCUUCGGGUGGUAAACUCCUUUCGACCGCGAGGAAGCCACCUGGUUGGAAGGGUGGUGACGGUAGUGGCAGAAGAAGCACCGGCUAACUACGUG